AUGGUGCGCAUCGACGCUGGCACCGCCGAGGUGGUCGCCAUGGGCUGGAUUGACCGCGGGGCCUGCUUCUUCCCUGUGCCAGAAAGCGGGAGGAAGAGGAAGAGGGGCGAGCAUGAGCUGGGGGACGGGGCCUCGUCCGAGGUGGAUGAGAGGUCCGACGAGAGCAGCGACGUGGUGGAGUCCUCAAUCCAGCCUAAUCUCCUGCCACUCUCAAGCACUCCCCGUGCAGCAGGCCUGAUGUGUAGGCUGCCAUGGCAAGGCUACAUCCAUGCAUUCGGUGAUUGUCUGAUCUACCAUGUGAUUUGCGGUUCAUGCGAAGUCAUGAAAUCUGGUCCGGAUAGUGACAUGAUUUACUCUGUUUGA
This 363-nucleotide ribosomal RNA is filed under the name Triticum aestivum (bread wheat). Its description in RNAcentral is "partial small subunit ribosomal RNA". Lineage: Eukaryota; Viridiplantae; Streptophyta; Magnoliopsida; Poales; Poaceae. The record is from RNAcentral.